Molecule: ribosomal RNA, 659 nt
Filed under: uncultured marine eukaryote
Lineage: Eukaryota
Description: SSU rRNA
Rfam family: Eukaryotic small subunit ribosomal RNA
Source: RNAcentral
AAGUUGUUGCGGUUAAAAAGCUCGUAGUUGGAUCUCGGCGGGCAGGGGGUGGUUCGCUCUUCAGCGCUACUGCCCCGCUUUGCCCGUGUGAUUGGCGGAGGUUUCGGGGUGCUCUUCGUUGAGUGACUCGGAGCGCCGUCAGGUUUACUUUGAAAAAAUUAGAGUGCUCAAAGCAGGCUUUUCACGCUUGAAUAUUCGUGCAUGGAAUAAUGGAAUAGGAACUCGUUUCUAUUUUGUUGGUUUUCGGAAAUCGAGUUAAUGAUUAACAGGGACAAUUGGGGGCAUUAGUAUUCAGACGACAGAGGUGAAAUUCUUGGACCGUCUGAAGACUGACUACUGCGAAAGCAUUUGCCAAGAGUGUUUUCAUUAAUCAAGAACGAAAGUUAGAGGUUCGAAGGCGAUCAGAUACCGCCCUAGUUCUAACCAUAAACGAUGCCAGCUAGCGAUCUGCCGAGUUUUUUUUGUAGGCUCCGCAGGAAGCUUUCGGGAAACCAAAGCUUUUGGGUUCCGGGGGAAGUAUGGUUGCAAAGCUGAAACUUAAAGGAAUUGACGGAAGGGCACCACCAAGAGUGGAGCCUGCGGCUUAAUUUGACUCAACACGGGAAAUCUCACCAGGCCCGGACACUGGAAGGAUUGACAGAUUGAGAGCUCUUUCUCGA